AUCUGAAGAUCAUCCUGGUAGUUGGGAAUCUUGAGUCUCAGGCAAGUUGUGCCCUUGAUCACUUAUUUUUACCUAAUAAUGUUUACUGUUAAUCACCGUGACAUGUUUAGGUUAAUUUGAUGGGACCUAAUAGGUUUCCCUAGCAUUGUUUAUCCCCCACCUUACAAACAGAUGAAUUAUUGGGUAGAUUUGCUAUUGCUCUACCUGGUUUUGGGAAACUAAUGUUUUAUUAUGAUCAUGUUACAAUUAUGUUGUUUAAUUAUUGUUCAUGGUAAGAUCAUAUUGUUAAUUGGAACAUGGAGAACCACCCGGAAAAAUAGUGCUACCGACGCCCUUGGCUGACUAAUUAGGAAAGCUAGUGGAGGACUACCUUACCCGAAAGGGGGAAGGGCAGUAGGGGAGUGGUCGGUAUAGGGAGGUCCUCAGGCUGAUUUUGCUGCGAUGGCUUUUCAGACGGGGGAUUCCUAUAUUGCGCUUCCUAGAACUGUAGCGGGUUUUCUGAAGCUAGUGGAACUUUGUAAAGGUCUCGUAGUGGUACCCUGUCUCGCUUCCUUAGUAGAGGUGUAUGGGAUCUGAUCAACCUCGUGGCAAAUGGGUAACACGACUUGUGGGUAAAGAUGCACAACCUCUGCAAAGUGUAAAACUGGUAUAUCAGCUGUGCUCACGGUCAUGAGCGGCUCGGACACUCACAUGAUUAACUUAUGGAAUUAAACUCAAUUUGUCAUUUGCAUUGCAUUGUGGGUGUUGUUAUUAACAUUGAUUUCUUAUUUAAUUGGGUUGGUAUCUACUUAUACUUAGUAACUGCUAAUAAAAUUUUGACCAACUUUAAAAGCAAUGCUCAGCUUUAACCAUCCUCUUUGGUAAGCCUUACACUUCACCUGAGCUCCCACCUUUUGUGAGUUCAUGCACAUUAUUCCCCAAAACUUGUUGAGCGAUGAACGUAUGUGAGCUCACCCUUCCUGUACUCAUAUCCCCCAGGUCAAGGACAGGUACCACAGGAUGAGGCGCAUGGAGGAUGCUAUGAUGAGUUCGUGAGAGGUCUAGGCCGUCGUCUCCCAGUCAACUUUGGUUGAUGGAUCGUUGUCUUCGUAUGAUGUAAUUAUUUAAUGAUUUUGUACAGAACUCCAUUAUAUAUUAAUGUUGUGACAUUCGUUUCUGUACCAUGAAUCAUCAUAUGUGUAAGACUUGAUCCUAGCACACUUGGUGAUUAUCUCACGCCCGGGUUUUGGGUCUGGGUGUGACAGAAUUGGUAUUAGAGCGAAUGUUGACUGUAGGACGAAACUUAGAUAGAAAUGGACAACCCUUACCUACUUACCUUAGUUACUCUGAUUCUUUCUAAACUUUUCUUAAUCUUUUCUCACCUACUGUUGCUUUACUCUGAUUACUCUUACCUUUUCGCUUCUAAAGACAAAAGUGGAUUCCACACUUUGAAAUGAUGUACCUAAAGCGACCUUUAGGAAUAGGAGACCUAAUCUUCGGAACAAAAAACAAAACUAU
RNAcentral lists this long non-coding RNA (1497 nucleotides) under Zea mays. RNAcentral describes it as "long non-coding RNA (ZMAY_LNC002491)". Lineage: Eukaryota; Viridiplantae; Streptophyta; Magnoliopsida; Poales; Poaceae. The record is from RNAcentral.